UGGGAGGGUGAUACUCAGGCAGGGGUCAGUUUUGUCCUGCCUGUCACAAAUCCUCCCUAGAGCAUCCUUGCCUUUUGAUGACCGGGGCGAAUUGAGAGAAAUCGCAACGGACAGAUACGGGGCAGACACCU
Non-coding RNA from Megalops cyprinoides (Indo-Pacific tarpon), 131 nucleotides. RefSeq annotates it as small Cajal body-specific RNA 8. NCBI's taxonomy places the organism in Eukaryota, Metazoa, Chordata, Actinopteri, Elopiformes, Megalopidae. The record is from RefSeq and is a predicted model, not a curated record. The transcript has a single exon.